GAUGAAGAACGUAGCGAAAUGCGAUAAGUAAUGUGAAUUGCAGAAUUCAGUGAAUCAUCGAAUCUUUGAACGCACAUUGCGCCCGCCAGUAUUCUGGCGGGCAUGCCUGUUCGAGCGUCAUUUCAACCAUCAAGCCCCAGGCUUGUGUUGGGGACCUGCGGCUGCCGCAGGCCAUGAAAACCAGUGGCGGGCUCGCUGUCACACCGGGCGUAGUAGAUUUUAUCUCGCUCAGGGCGUGCUGCGGGUUCCGGCCGUUAAAAAGCCUUUUUUACCCAAGGUUGACCUCGGAUCAGGUAGGAAGACCCGCUGAACUUAAGCAUAUUAAUAAGCGGAGGA
This 336-nucleotide unclassified non-coding RNA is filed under the name soil metagenome. Its description in RNAcentral is "partial contains 5.8S ribosomal RNA, internal transcribed spacer 2, and large subunit ribosomal RNA". The stretch from base 1 to 120 matches the Rfam family "5.8S ribosomal RNA", at positions 35 to 154 of the family's 154-position model. The record is from RNAcentral.